AGAGUUUGAUCCUGGCUCAGAACGAACGCAGGCGGCAGGCCUAACACAUGCAAGUCGAACGCAUCUCUUCGGAGGUGAGUGGCGCACGGGUGAGUAACGCGUGGGAACCUGCCUUGGGGUUGGGAAUAACGGAUGGAAACGUCCGCUAAUACCCGAUACGCCCUUAGGGGGAAAGAUUUAUUGCCCUGGGAGGGGCCCGCGUUGGAUUAGCUAGUUGGUGUGGUAAGAGCGCACCAAGGCAUCGAUCCAUAGCUGGUCUGAGAGGAUGAUCAGCCACACUGGGACUGAGACACGGCCCAGACUCCUACGGGGGGCAGCAGUGGGGAAUUUUGGACAAUGGGCGAAAGCCUGAUCCAGCAAUGUCGCGUGCAGGAUGAAGGCCUUCGGGUUGUAGACUGCUUUUGUACGGAACGAAAAAGCUUCUCCUAAUACGAGAGGCCCAUGACGGUACCGUAAGAAUAAGCGCCGGCUAACUACGUGCCAGCAGCCGCGGUAAU
Molecule: ribosomal RNA, 497 nt
Filed under: uncultured Rhizobiaceae bacterium
Lineage: Bacteria; Pseudomonadati; Pseudomonadota; Alphaproteobacteria; Hyphomicrobiales; Rhizobiaceae
Description: bacterial SSU rRNA
Rfam family: Bacterial small subunit ribosomal RNA
Source: RNAcentral